Molecule: RNA transcript, 1608 nt
Organism: Solanum verrucosum
Lineage: Eukaryota; Viridiplantae; Streptophyta; Magnoliopsida; Solanales; Solanaceae
Gene name: protein SLOW GREEN 1, chloroplastic-like
Exons: 4
Source: RefSeq, a predicted model, not a curated record
CGGAAUUGCCAACUUUUCUCGAGAAUUGUGCCUGACCUCCAUUGUCGCCGGAGCUCAACAGCUCUCACUCUCUUCUUAAGACCCCCCCCCCCCCCCCCCAAACCCCCAAGGAACACCAUGAACACGAUAAAUCCUUUUUCUGCUAAAACAAUCCAAAUUGACAAGAAAAUCAACCAUUCACUUUAUCACCAUCGUCCAAUUUUGUCUAAACCAUUUUCUUCUCUCUGUUUUAGAACCCCAUUGUUCCCCUCUUUCUUGCCCAUCAAAGCCUCUUCUUCAUUAUCCUUUCAAAACCCAGAAACCCCAAAAUCCAUAAACCCUCAAAACCCGUUUUCUGUUCUGUUCUCAGUUCUCAAACCUACAAUUAUUGCCACCAUUACAGCUACUUCCCUUUUCUUAACGCGAUUCUAUUUUAACCCGAAGCCCGCAUUUGCUGUGUCGCUUUCUUCUCCGCACACUACAGAGGCAAACGUAAAGGAUUCAGCUUCUGACGAGGAAAAUGAGAAGGCCCUCGAGAGUUUCUUGCUGUCGAACCCGAAUGAUGUCGAUGCUCUGAGGAAUUUGAUGGAAAUUCAGAUAAAGAAUCGGAAAUUAGUCGAUGCUAUUAGCACUAUUGACAAGUUGAUUGAGCUAGAGCCAAAUGAGACUGAAUGGCCUUUGUUGAAAUCCCAUUUAUAUGUUUACAAUGGUGAGCUUGAAUUGGCCAAAAUUGGAUUCAGUGAGAUAUUAAAGAAAGAACCUUUUCGUGUAGAGGCUUAUCAUGGGCUGGUGAUGGUGGCGUCGCAAGAAGAUUCAGUUGAGGAGUUGAAAGAAAUAAAGAAAAAAGUUGAGGAGGGGAUCAAGAUGUGUGAUAAGGAGAGUAAAAAGAGUGAAAUGAGGGAUUUUAUGCUGUUGCUUGCACAAAUUUGGGUAAUUGAAAGUAAAUACGAGGAUGCGUUGAAGGUUUAUCAGGAGUUAGUGAAGGAGGAGCCAAAGGAUUUUAGGCCUUAUUUGUGUCAAGGGAUAAUACAUACUUUGUUGAGAAAGAAAGAUGAGGCGGAGAAGAGUUUUGAGGAGUAUCGAAGAUUAGUACCACAAGGCCACCCUUAUGCUAGGUACUUUGAUGAUAAUUUGAUUGCAACAAAGCUUUUCUCUCAGAAAGUGGAGAGUGAAAGGUAUGGAGAUUGAAGGCAGUGUACUUCAGUUUGAUGAUUGAGUUAUUCCAGAAAACUCAGUCAUGUCCACAUCCUCUGGCUUCUGACCAUCAGGACACAUUCUCCUUCCGGCACCAAAAGGAAGAUACUCAAAGUUAUUCCCCAUGAAAUCCACAGAGCUCUGCUCGAAUCUCUCAGGUAUAAAGCUUUCCGCAUCUUCCCAAUACUUUGGGUCCCUUCCCAUCGACCAAACAUUAACCAUGACUCUUGUUUUUAAUGGGAUGGUGUAUCCGUUGAUGUUUGUUUCUUCCCUGCAUUCUCUGGGGGCUAAGAGAGGGACUGGAGGAUGAAGUCUGAAGGUUUCUUUAACAACUUGUUUUAAGUAUUUCAAUUCCUCAAUAACAUCUUCAUCGAAAGUUUCUUUUCCUUUGAAUGCUUCUCUUACCUCAGCUUGUGCCUUUGCUAAUACACUUGG